UGGGGAAUUUUGGACAAUGGGCGAAAGCCUGAUCCAGCCAUGCCGCGUGAGUGAAGAAGGCCUUCGGGUUGUAAAGCUCUUUCAGGUGGAAAGAAAACGCAUAGGUUAAUACCCUGUGCGGAUGACGGUACCAUCAGAAGAAGCACCGGCUAACUACGUGCCAGCAGCCGCGGUAAUACGUAGGGUGCGAGCGUUAAUCGGAAUUACUGGGCGUAAAGCGUGCGCAGGCGGUUAUGUAAGACAGAUGUGAAAUCCCCGGGCUCAACCUGGGAACUGCGUUUGUGACUGCAUAACUAGAGUGCGGUAGAGGGAGGUGAAAUUCCGCGUGUAGCGGUGAAAUGCGUAGAUAUGCGGAGAAACACCAAUGGCGAGGGCGGCCUCCUGGGCCAGUACUGACGCUCAUGCACGAAAGCGUGGGGAGCAAACA
This 427-nucleotide ribosomal RNA is filed under the name uncultured bacterium. RNAcentral describes it as "bacterial SSU rRNA". It matches the Rfam family "Bacterial small subunit ribosomal RNA", at positions 355 to 774 of the family's 1533-position model. The record is from RNAcentral.